AGAUGUGAAAGACCCCGGGCCGUCAACCUCGGGAAGUUGCAUUUGUAAACUAGGCAAACUAGAGUACUGUAGAGGGGGGUAGGAAUUUCAGGUGUAGCGGUGAAAUAGCGUAGAGAUCUGAAGGAAUACCGGUGGCGAAGGCGGCCCCCUCGGACAGAUACUGACACUCAGAUGCGAAAGCGUGGGGAGCAAACAGGAUUAGAUACCCUGGUAG
Molecule: ribosomal RNA, 214 nt
Filed under: uncultured bacterium
Lineage: Bacteria
Description: partial 16S ribosomal RNA
Rfam family: Bacterial small subunit ribosomal RNA
Source: RNAcentral